UCCGAGUUGACCCCGGCAGUCUCCUGCGAGUCCCCGCCAUUACGCGCUGGCAACACAGGACAAGGGUUGCGCUCGUUGCGGGACUUAACCCAACAUCUCACGACACGAGCUGACGACAGCCAUGCACCACCUGUCACCCAGUCCGAAGAGGGCCUUGUCUCCAAGGCUUUCCGGGUGAUGUCAAACCCAGGUAAGGUUCUUCGCGUUGCAUCGAAUUAAUCCACAUGCUCCGCCGCUUGUGCGGGCUCCCGUCAAUUCCUUUGAGUUUUAGCCUUGCGGCCGUACUCCCCAGGCGGGACACUUAACGCGUUAACUGCGGCACAGAGGGAUUCGACUCCCCCCACACCUAGUGUCCAUCGUCUACGGCUAGGACUAC
RNAcentral lists this unclassified non-coding RNA (376 nucleotides) under uncultured Actinomycetes bacterium. RNAcentral describes it as "uncultured actinobacterium contains 16S-23S intergenic spacer region". Lineage: Bacteria; Bacillati; Actinomycetota; Actinomycetes. The record is from RNAcentral.